RNAcentral lists this ribosomal RNA (506 nucleotides) under uncultured bacterium. Its description in RNAcentral is "partial 16S ribosomal RNA". It matches the Rfam family "Bacterial small subunit ribosomal RNA", at positions 28 to 523 of the family's 1533-position model. The record is from RNAcentral.
GAUGAACGCUAGCUACAGGCUUAACACAUGCAAGUCGAGGGGUAACGAGAGGAAAGCUUGCUUUCCUUGUCGACGACCGGCGCACGGGUGAGUAACGUGUAUCCAACCUGCCCCCAACUAGGGAAUAACCUUGCGAAAGUAAGACUAAUACCCUAUAAUUUCCUCAGAUGUCAUCUGACGAGGACUAAAGAUUUAUCGGUUGUGGAUGGGGAUGCGUCUGAUUAGCUUGUUGGCGGGGUAACGGCCCACCAAGGCAACGAUCAGUAGGGGUUCUGAGAGGAAGGUCCCCCGCAUUGGAACUGAGACACGGUCCAAACUCCUACGGGAGGCAGCAGUGAGGAAUAUUGGUCAAUGGGCGGAAGCCUGAACCAGCCAAGUAGCGUGCAGGAUGACGGCCCUAUGGGUUGUAAACUGCUUUUAUACAGGAAUAAAGUUAGCCACGUGUGGUUAUUUGUAGGUACUGUAUGAAUAAGGACCGGCUAAUUCCGUGCCAACAGCCGCCGUAA